AUUGAACGCUGGCGGCAUGCCUUACACAUGCAAGUCGAACGGUAACGGCGGGGCAACCUGGCGACGAGUGGCGAACGGGUGAGUAAUAUAUCGGAACGUGCCCUAGAGGUGGGGGAUAACUAGUCGAAAGACUAGCUAAUACCGCAUACGAUCUAAAGGAUGAAAGGUGGGGGGAUCGCAAAGACCUCAUGCUCGGUGGAGCGGCCGAUAUCUGAUUAGC
RNAcentral lists this ribosomal RNA (220 nucleotides) under uncultured bacterium. RNAcentral's name for it is "partial 16S ribosomal RNA". It matches the Rfam family "Bacterial small subunit ribosomal RNA", at positions 30 to 245 of the family's 1533-position model. The record is from RNAcentral.